UAUGCCAUCGUGUUAUUUUCCAUACGAAUUUUUGUGCUCGUAAUUAAUAACAUACACGUAUAACCAUAUUCAAAAAUGCGUUAUCGAUUACAUACGAGUAUAAUGAAACGAAAUUGUAUUAUAAGAAACGGGCAUUGUUUUUUUAUGCGUAGAACGAAAGAGAAAAUUCUACACGUGUUAACGUCAAUGAUCUGUAAAUACUCGCAUAAUACCGGCUGUUCAAUCAGAUAU
Molecule: non-coding RNA, 231 nt
Organism: Cinara cedri
Lineage: Eukaryota; Metazoa; Arthropoda; Insecta; Hemiptera; Aphididae
Source: the annotation of a GenBank genome assembly